Triticum aestivum (bread wheat) is the source of this 56-nucleotide non-coding RNA. NCBI's taxonomy places the organism in Eukaryota, Viridiplantae, Streptophyta, Magnoliopsida, Poales, Poaceae. The record is from Rfam.
AUUCAGUUGGUAGAGUACAAAGCUCUUAACCUUGUGGACGUGGGUUCAAGCCCCAU